Molecule: unclassified non-coding RNA, 387 nt
Filed under: soil metagenome
Description: partial contains 5.8S ribosomal RNA, internal transcribed spacer 2, and large subunit ribosomal RNA
Rfam family: 5.8S ribosomal RNA (bases 1-120)
Source: RNAcentral
GAUGAAGAACGUAGCGAAAUGCGAUAAGUAAUGUGAAUUGCAGAAUUCAGUGAAUCAUCGAAUCUUUGAACGCACCUUGCACCCUUUGGCAUUCCGAAGGGUAUGCUCGUUUGAGUGUCAUUGUACUCUCACACUCUCCGAUCCUAUGGAUUCGGGGAGCGGUGGACUUGGGUGUUGCUGCCUUUCCUUGUGGCUCACCUCAAAUGUGUCAGUGCACCUCUUGGUUGGACAUAGUACGGCGUGAUAAGUGUCUUCGCCGGCACCUCGCAAGAGGGUGGCCGAUCGGGAGCUCUGUGCUUUCAAACCGUCUUCGGACAAUUUCUGACAACUUGACCUCAAAUCGAGUAGGACUACCCGCUGAACUUAAGCAUAUCAAUAAGCUGAGGA